AUUGAACGCUGGCGGCAUGCCUUACACAUGCAAGUCGAACGGCAGCACGGAGCUUGCUCUGGUGGCGAGUGGCGAACGGGUGAGUAAUAUAUCGGAACGUACCCAAGAGUGGGGGAUAACGUAGCGAAAGUUACGCUAAUACCGCAUACGAUCUAAGGAUGAAAGCAGGGGAUCGCAAGACCUUGUGCUCCUGGAGCGGCCGAUAUCUGAUUAGCUAGUUGGUGAGGUAAAGGCUCACCAAGGCAUCGAUCAGUAGCUGGUCUGAGGGGACGACCAGCCACACUGGAACUGAGACACGGUCCAGACUCCUACGGGAGGCAGCAGUGGGGAAUUCUGGACAAUGGGGGCAACCCUGAUCCAGCAAUGCCGCGUGAGUGAAGAAGGCCUUCGGGUUGUAAAGCUCUUUUGUCAGGGAAGAAACGGUGAAGGCUAAUAUCCUUUGCUAAUGACGGUACCUGAAGAAUAAGCACCGGCUAACUACGUGCCAGCCGCCGCAGUAA
RNAcentral lists this ribosomal RNA (500 nucleotides) under uncultured bacterium. RNAcentral describes it as "partial 16S ribosomal RNA". It matches the Rfam family "Bacterial small subunit ribosomal RNA", at positions 30 to 523 of the family's 1533-position model. The record is from RNAcentral.